UUUCCUUCCUCUUGACAUAAUCACAGAGAUUGACUCUCUUCCUCACCAAGCUCUCCCUCUUUUUAAACUCUCUGUGUUUAUUCUUCUCACCCAACUCUCUGCUCUUAAGCCUUAGGAGAAAUAAGAAGCGAAGUAAGAAAUAACCCAAUUGAUAAUCAUGGUCAUCAGUUAAAAAACCCAAUGGACGUCCGUUAGAAUAAGCCAAAGGCCAG
Molecule: long non-coding RNA, 212 nt
Filed under: Panax ginseng (ginseng)
Lineage: Eukaryota; Viridiplantae; Streptophyta; Magnoliopsida; Apiales; Araliaceae
Description: long non-coding RNA (PGIN_LNC012172)
Source: RNAcentral